This 72-nucleotide transfer RNA is filed under the name Ovis aries (sheep). It matches the Rfam family "tRNA". From Rfam's summary of the family: Transfer RNA (tRNA) molecules are approximately 80 nucleotides in length. Their secondary structure includes four short double-helical elements and three loops (D, anti-codon, and T loops). The record is from Rfam by way of RNAcentral. Lineage: Eukaryota; Metazoa; Chordata; Mammalia; Artiodactyla; Bovidae.
UCCCUGGUGGCUCAGAUGGUAAAGCACCUGCUUACAAUGCGGGAGACCUGGGUUCGAUCCCUGGGUGGGGAA